GAUGAACGCUGGCGGCGUGCCUAAUACAUGCAAGUCGAGCGAACGGACGAGAAGCUUGCUUCUCUGAUGUUAGCGGCGGACGGGUGAGUAACACGUGGAUAACCUACCUAUAAGACUGGGAUAACUUCGGGAAACCGGAGCUAAUACUGGAUAAUAUUUUGAACCGCAUGGUUCAAAAGUGAAAGACGGUCUUGCUGUCACUUAUAGAUGGAUCCGCGCUGCAUUAGCUAGUUGGUAAGGUAACGGCUUACCAAGGCAACGAUGCAUAGCCGACCUGGGAGGGUGACCGCCCACAGAGGAACGGAGACACGCCCCAGCCACCUAGGGGAGGCAGCAGGAGGAAUUUUUCAGCAAGGGGCGAAACCCGGAGGGAGCACCCCGGGGUGGGUGAUAAGGGUUUCCGAAUCGAAAACCUUUUUUAUGGGGAAAAAACAUAUGUUUAAUUAACGGUCCAAAUCUGGGGGGACCCAAAUAAAAAACCCCCGGCUAACUACGU
This 496-nucleotide ribosomal RNA is filed under the name uncultured bacterium. RNAcentral describes it as "partial 16S ribosomal RNA". It matches the Rfam family "Bacterial small subunit ribosomal RNA", at positions 28 to 506 of the family's 1533-position model. The record is from RNAcentral.